CCCUUAGAUGUUCUGGGCCGCACGCGUGCUACACUGAGUGGAUCAGCGGGUCAGGUUGCGCGAAAGCGUUUCCUAAUCUUGAAAUCCGCUCGUGAUGGGGAUUGACGGUUGCAAUUUUCUGUCAUGAACGAGGAAUACCUUGUAAGCGCGGGUCAUCAUCCCGCGCUGAAUACGUCCCUGCCCUUUGUACACACCGCCCGUCGCUCCUACCGAUUGAGUGGUCCGGUGAGGCUUUGGGAUCUGAGCGGAAAAAGCGUUUCGCUCGUUCUGCCCGGAAAACUCAGUCGAACCUUAUCAUUUAGAGGAAGGAGAAGUCGUAACA
This 322-nucleotide ribosomal RNA is filed under the name uncultured eukaryote. RNAcentral's name for it is "partial 18S ribosomal RNA". It matches the Rfam family "Eukaryotic small subunit ribosomal RNA", at positions 1470 to 1796 of the family's 1831-position model. The record is from RNAcentral.